RNAcentral lists this ribosomal RNA (253 nucleotides) under uncultured bacterium. Its description in RNAcentral is "partial 16S ribosomal RNA". It matches the Rfam family "Bacterial small subunit ribosomal RNA", at positions 524 to 776 of the family's 1533-position model. The record is from RNAcentral.
UACGGGGGGGGCAAGCGUUGUUCGGAAUUACUGGGCGUAAAGGGCUCGUAGGCGGCCAACUAAGUCAGACGUGAAAUCCCUCGGCUUAACCGGGGAACUGCAUCUGAUACUGGAUGGCUUGAGAUUGGGAGAGGGAUGCGGAAUUCCAGGUGUAGCGGUGAAAUGCGUAGAUAUCUGGAGGAACACCGGUGGCGAAGGCGGCAUCCUGGACCAACACUGACGCUGAGGAGCGAAAGCCAGGGGAGCAAAUGGG